RNAcentral lists this ribosomal RNA (498 nucleotides) under uncultured bacterium. RNAcentral describes it as "partial 16S ribosomal RNA". It matches the Rfam family "Bacterial small subunit ribosomal RNA", at positions 30 to 523 of the family's 1533-position model. The record is from RNAcentral.
AUUGAACGCUGGCGGCAUGCCUUACACAUGCAAGUCGAACGGUAACAGGUCUUCGGAUGCUGACGAGUGGCGAACGGGUGAGUAAUACAUCGGAACGUGCCCGAUCGUGGGGGAUAACGAGGCGAAAGCUUUGCUAAUACCGCAUACGAUCUACGGAUGAAAGCGGGGGAUCUUCGGACCUCGCGCGGACGGAGCGGCCGAUGGCAGAUUAGGUAGUUGGUGGGAUAAAAGCUUACCAAGCCGACGAUCUGUAGCUGGUCUGAGAGGAUGAUCAGCCACACUGGGACUGAGACACGGCCCAGACUCCUACGGGAGGCAGCAGUGGGGAAUUUUGAACAAUGGGCGAAAGCCUGAUCCAGCCAUGCCGCGUGCAGGAUGAAGGCCUUCGGGUUGUAAACUGCUUUUGUACGGAACGAAAAGCCUCUUUCUAAUAAAGAGGGGUCAUGACGGUACCGUAAGAAUAAGCACCGGCUAACUGCGUGCCAGCAGCCGCCGCAG